Molecule: ribosomal RNA, 301 nt
Filed under: uncultured bacterium
Lineage: Bacteria
Description: partial 16S ribosomal RNA
Rfam family: Bacterial small subunit ribosomal RNA
Source: RNAcentral
CAGCAGCCGCGGGAAUACAGAGGGUGCAAGCGUUAAUCGGAAUUACUGGGCGUAAAGCGCGCGUAGGUGGUUUGUUAAGUUGGAUGUGAAAUCCCCGGGCUCAACCUGGGAACUGCAUCCAAAACUGGCAAGCUAGAGUAUGGUAGAGGGUGGUGGAAUUUCCUGUGUAGCGGUGAAAUGCGUAGAUAUAGGAAGGAACACCAGUGGCAAAGGCGACCACCUGGACUGAUACUGACACUGAGGUGCGAAAGCGUGGGGAGCAAACAGGAUUAGAUACCCCUGUAGUCCCUGUCUCUUAUAC